RNAcentral lists this ribosomal RNA (260 nucleotides) under uncultured bacterium. Its description in RNAcentral is "partial 16S ribosomal RNA". It matches the Rfam family "Bacterial small subunit ribosomal RNA", at positions 98 to 354 of the family's 1533-position model. The record is from RNAcentral.
CGGCACGGGUGAGUAACGCGUAUGCGACCUGCCCGUUGCAGGGGGAUAAUCGGGAGAAAUCCCGUCUAAUACCGCGUAACGCCGCGGGGCUGCAUGGCCCUGCGGCCAAAGGGAGCGAUUCCGGCAACGGAUGGGCAUGCGUGACAUUAGCUAGUUGGCGGGGCAACGGCCCACCAAGGCGACGAUGUCUAGGGGUUCUGAGAGGAAGGUCCCCCACACUGGUACUGAGACACGGACCAGGCUCCUACGGGAGGCAGCAG